RNAcentral lists this long non-coding RNA (211 nucleotides) under Trifolium pratense (red clover). Its description in RNAcentral is "long non-coding RNA (TPRA_LNC003622)". The record is from RNAcentral. Lineage: Eukaryota; Viridiplantae; Streptophyta; Magnoliopsida; Fabales; Fabaceae.
UCGGAAUCACCUAGUCUAUAGCUAAACCACAUGCAAUCUACCAUAUCGUAGGAGUCUACUCAUGUGUUCACAACUAGAUCGACAAAUUAGUGAAUCGUAAUCUCUUGUCAAAAUCCACUCUAUUCGUUGUCGAUACUCCCCCGAUCUCUCGGGCGGAAGCUACCUACAACGAAUGAUAUGAAAGCGCGUCAAUCGUUCGCUACACUCUAUG